This 361-nucleotide ribosomal RNA is filed under the name uncultured bacterium. RNAcentral describes it as "bacterial SSU rRNA". It matches the Rfam family "Bacterial small subunit ribosomal RNA", at positions 29 to 417 of the family's 1533-position model. The record is from RNAcentral.
AACAAACGCUGGCGGCAGGCCUAACACAUGCAAGUUGAACGCUGUAGCAAUACAGAGUAGCGCACGGGUGCGUAACGCGUGGGAAUAUGCCCUUCACUGCGGAAUAACGUUUGGAAACGAACGCUAAUACCGCAUAACGACUCCGGUCCAAAGAUUUAUCGGUGAAGGAUUAGCCCGCGUUAGAUUAGCUAGUUGGUGAGGUAACGGCUCACCAAGGCGACGAUCUAUAGCUGGUCUGAGAGGAUGAUCAGCCACACUGGGACUGAGACACGGCCCAGACUCCUACGGGAGGCAGCAGUGAGGAAUAUUGGACAAUGGGCGCAAGCCUGAUCCAGCAAUGCCGCGCGAGUGAAGAAGGCCU